GAUGAACGCUGGCGGCGUGCCUAAUACAUGCAAGUCGAGCGAACAGACGAGGAGCUUGCUCCUCUGACGUUAGCGGCGGACGGGUGAGUAACACGUGGAUAACCUACCUAUAAGACUGGGAUAACUUCGGGAAACCGGAGCUAAUACCGGAUAAUAUAUUGAACCGCAUGGUUCAAUAGUGAAAGACGGUUUUGCUGUCACUUAUAGAUGGAUCCGCGCCGCAUUAGCUAGUCGGUAAGGUAACGGCUUACCAAGGCAACGAUGCGUAGCCGACCUGAGAGGGUGAUCGGCCACACUGGAACUGAGACACGGUCCAGACUCCUACGGGAGGCAGCAGUAGGGAAUCUUCCGCAAUGGGCGAAAGCCUGACGGAGCAACGCCGCGUGAGUGAUGAAGGUCUUCGGAUCGUAAAACUCUGUUAUUAGGGAAGAACAAAUGUGUAAGUAACUAUGCACGUCUUGACGGUACCUAAUCAGAAAGCCAUGGCUAACUACGUG
This 497-nucleotide ribosomal RNA is filed under the name uncultured bacterium. Its description in RNAcentral is "partial 16S ribosomal RNA". It matches the Rfam family "Bacterial small subunit ribosomal RNA", at positions 28 to 507 of the family's 1533-position model. The record is from RNAcentral.